RNAcentral lists this ribosomal RNA (497 nucleotides) under uncultured bacterium. RNAcentral's name for it is "partial 16S ribosomal RNA". It matches the Rfam family "Bacterial small subunit ribosomal RNA", at positions 28 to 507 of the family's 1533-position model. The record is from RNAcentral.
GAUGAACGCUGGCGGCGUGCCUAAUACACGCAAGUCGUGCGAACGGACGAGAAGCUUGCUUCUCUGAUGUUAGCGGCGGACGGGUGAGUAACACGUGGAUAACCUACCUAUAAGACUGGGAUAACUUCGGGAAACCGGAGCUAAUACCGGAUGAUAUUUUGAACCGCAUGGUUCAAAAGUGAAAGACGGUCUUGCUGUCACUUAUAGAUGGAUCCGCGCUGCAUUAGCUAGUUGGUAAGGUAACGGCUUACCAAGGCAACGAUGCAUAGCCGACCUGAGAGGGUGAUCGGCCACACUGGAACUGAGACACGGUCCAGACUCCUACGGGAGGCAGCAGUAGGGAAUCUUCCGCAAUGGGCGAAAGCCUGACGGAGCAACGCCGCGUGAGUGAUGAAGGUCUUCGGAUCGUAAAACUCUGUUAUUAGGGAAGAACAUAUGUGUAAGUAACUGUGCACAUCUUGACGGUACCUAAUCAGAAAGCCACGGCUAACUACGUG